ACGGUAGCAGGUAAGUACUUGUACUUAUGCUGACGAGUGGCGGACGGGUGAGUAAUGCUUGGGAGUCUGUCUUAUGGAGGGGGAUAACGACGGGAAACUGUCGCUAAUACCGCGUAGAAUCGGGAGAUGAAAGUGUGGGACCUUCGGGCCACAUGCCAUAGGAUGAGCCCAAGUGUGAUUAGGUAUGUUGGUGGGGUAAAGGCCUACCAAGCCGACGAUCGCUAGCUGGUCUGAGAGGAUGGCCAGCCACACCGGGACUGAGACACGGCCCGGACUCCUACGGGAGGCAGCAGUGGGGAAUAUUGCGCAAUGGGGGCAACCCUGACGCAGCCAUGCCGCGUGAAUGAAGAAGGCCUUCGGGUUGUAAAGUUCUUUCGGUGAUGAGGAAGGUUGGUGUGUUAAUAGCAUGCCAAAUUGACGUUAAAUACAGAAGAAGCAC
This 439-nucleotide ribosomal RNA is filed under the name Aggregatibacter actinomycetemcomitans. RNAcentral describes it as "bacterial SSU rRNA". It matches the Rfam family "Bacterial small subunit ribosomal RNA", at positions 66 to 493 of the family's 1533-position model. The record is from RNAcentral. Lineage: Bacteria; Pseudomonadati; Pseudomonadota; Gammaproteobacteria; Pasteurellales; Pasteurellaceae.